RNAcentral lists this ribosomal RNA (200 nucleotides) under uncultured bacterium. RNAcentral's name for it is "partial 16S ribosomal RNA". It matches the Rfam family "Bacterial small subunit ribosomal RNA", at positions 28 to 225 of the family's 1533-position model. The record is from RNAcentral.
GAUGAACGCUAGCGGCAGGCUUAAUACAUGCAAGUCGAGGGGCAGCACAGGUAGCAAUACUGGGUGGCGACCGGCAAACGGGUGCGGAACACGUACGCAACCUUCCUUUAAGUGGGGGAUAGCCCAGGGAAACUUGGAUUAAUACCCCUUAACAUUAUGAGAUGGCAUCGUUUUAUAAUUAAAGCUCCGGCGCUUAAAGA